CACAUUUCAGCAAAUCUACCUUAGAACCUUAUAGCUAUUUGAAUCAGAUAUUAACAUUGUAACAACAUCUACUGAAUUUGUUUGGAAUUCCUAAAACAAACAUCUGAAAGAUAUGAGAACCACAGAUUAAUUAGCUGCGGCCUUGUAAUCUCUUAACAGCUUGAACCAAUAUAACAAAAAAGCCUAACAAAGGGAGUUUCCAUCACAACCAAAACAACCUUAUAGUAAUCCACCUCAGAAUAUUAUAGAAAUGUUUAAAUCCAAAGGAAAUCGUAAUGACAAAAUUGAAAUCUAAACACAAAUUAUUACAAAUUCUUCAUAAUGACAUAAAGAAAUGCCUUAAACAAAUGAAGAAGGAGACUGAUAGAAAGAAAACACGAUGAACUAAAAAAGCACUAAUUUAUAUUUCAACCAUCCAGAACCAACAACAUUUCAUCUUUGCAUCUCAUGGUCGAGGGCAAUACCUGGAAAUUAGGAAGGAAGCAAAAGAAAUGAAGAAUCUGCAGACAACAACAACAGAAAUCAGCUUGAAAACCAGCAAUGGAAUAGUAUUUUAACGACAGCUCAAAACCAGACUUUAAAACCCAAAAUUCAAGCCAUUUUAAACCAGGUGCAGGAUCUUUGAAACUUUCAGAAAUUCCAGCUAACCAAGAACACCAAAACCAAGUAGAAUUUUUAGUAACAUUCCAAAGUUGCAAGGAUUUCAAUGUUUAUUUUUUUUUUCAAAGCUUUUUAGGUCUAGUUGUUUUUACUUUUUUUCAGAAUUUUAG
Molecule: long non-coding RNA, 770 nt
Filed under: Nicotiana benthamiana
Lineage: Eukaryota; Viridiplantae; Streptophyta; Magnoliopsida; Solanales; Solanaceae
Description: long non-coding RNA (NBEN_LNC037771)
Source: RNAcentral